UUUAGUCAGGCAACGAGCGAGAUCCCUGCUUCUAGUUGCUACCAUUGCUCUCAGGAGUAGUGGGGCCAAUUAGAGGGACUGCCGUCGCUGAGACGGAGGAAGGAGGGGGCUACGGCAGGUCAGUAUGCCCCGAAACCCUCGGGCCACACGCGGGCUGCAAUGGUAAGGACAAUAAGUUCCUAGUCCGAAAGGAGGAGGUAAUCUCCAAACCUUACCUCAGUUAUGAUUGAGGGCUGAAACUCGCCCUCAUGAAUAUGGAAUCCCUAGUAAUCGCGUGUCACUAUCGCGCGGUGAAUACGUCCCUGCUCCUUGCACA
RNAcentral lists this ribosomal RNA (316 nucleotides) under uncultured methanogenic archaeon. RNAcentral's name for it is "bacterial SSU rRNA". It matches the Rfam family "Archaeal small subunit ribosomal RNA", at positions 1029 to 1343 of the family's 1478-position model. Lineage: Archaea; Methanobacteriati; Methanobacteriota. The record is from RNAcentral.